Lates calcarifer (barramundi perch) is the source of this 765-nucleotide long non-coding RNA. RefSeq lists it as uncharacterized. The record is from RefSeq and is a predicted model, not a curated record. Lineage: Eukaryota; Metazoa; Chordata; Actinopteri; Centropomidae. The transcript is spliced from 4 exons.
GACAGAGUAUUUAGUUCAGCCUUAAAUAAAAUUCUAUGCAUGCAGAAAGCUUUAUUUAUUCACUGGAAUCUGGUUGUACAUGUCAAACUAGAUCAACUAGUUUGUCUCACAAAGCCCUGCCUUGGAAUCUCGUCAUCUGAGAUUCACUGGGUUAACAGGUGUUAGAAACUGGAGGUUCAUAUCCCCUCCUUUCCACAAGGAGGCACCAACUGAUGGUUGAGUGUACUUGUGGAAGUACCUCCUCCUACUCUAUAAAUAGAGGCCAGGAUGAGGACUUCCUCCUCUUUGUCUCCAAACCCUUCACCUGGACUGAGUUCUUGGAGCUGCCUGCCAGGUGUCUUUUGAAUGACCUCCAAUUUCAUGACAAAUGGUCCCACAAGCCAAACACCGAGCCACACUCCACACAGUGACCUAAAAUGGCUGCUUUAGAGACUGAUGGCAUCAGACUCUCUUUACUGAGUAUGCAGAUGGAUUCCAAGGUGGAACAGACUCAACCCAGCAAACACAGGAUGCGGCCCAUCCUGUCGAAGAGGACCUUGAGGAAGUGGCCUUCAAAGAACGGGAUGUCCAAGUUACACUUCUCAAAAGGCUUUGGAUUUCCCCUCCAGUCCCACCGCUGACAGACCCCACAAUAAUCCCUGAACUGAGAGGAAGAGUCAGGAAAAAUAAUGAUUUUCCACAAGGUGCAUGCAAAGCAGGCAGCUCAGCAAGGUCAGAGGUCAGAGGCAGGUCCUUACACGGCAUCAUGGGGCUGGCCAUUCUCCA